GCCUGGCCAGCAUGGUAAAACGCUGUUUCUACUGAAAACACAAAAAUUAGCUAGGCGUGGUGGUUUGUACCUAUAGUCUCAGCUACUCAGGAGACAAAUGAUUUACUAAACCGAAAUUUAUUUUUUAAUUUAAUUUAUUUUAUUUUUUAAUUAUACUUUAAGUUCUAGGGUACAUGUGCACAAUGUGCAGGUUUGUUACAUAUGUGUACAUGUGCCAUGUUGGUGUGCUGCACCCAUUAACUCGUCAUUUACCUUAGGUAUAUCUCCUAAUGCUAUCCCUCUCCCCUCCCCCAACCCCACGACAGGUCCCGGUGUGUGAUGUUCCCCACCCUGUGUCCAAGUGUUCUCAUUGUUCAAUUCCCACCUAUGAGUGAGAACAUGUGGUGUUUGGUUUUCUGUCCUUGUGAUAGUUUGCUCAGAAUAAUGGUUUCUAGCUUCAUCCAUGUCCCUACAAAGGACAUGAACUCAUCCUUUUUUAUGGCUGCAUAGUAUUCCAUGGUGUAUAUGUGCCACAUUUUCUAAAUCCAGUCUA
RNAcentral lists this long non-coding RNA (532 nucleotides) under Homo sapiens (human). RNAcentral's name for it is "HSALNT0285824". Lineage: Eukaryota; Metazoa; Chordata; Mammalia; Primates; Hominidae. The record is from RNAcentral.